This 535-nucleotide ribosomal RNA is filed under the name Lineaspis striata. Its description in RNAcentral is "partial 28S ribosomal RNA". The record is from RNAcentral. Lineage: Eukaryota; Metazoa; Arthropoda; Insecta; Hemiptera; Diaspididae.
AUCUGGGCGGCGGAAUUCAGGAUGGCUGGCGGGUUUCGCGCUCGUCCGGCCGUUUGAUAUUUCCGUCGCCGUGUCGGACGUCGCGACCUGUUCGUCGCCGGUUCCCUGCUCGGAGGAGGCGCGAUCGAGUUUCGUUGCGCGGCGCGUUUCGGCGCGUCGCGCGGCGAAGACGCGACUCUCUGGCUGGCGGCGGACAGUAAGCAACGGUGUGCGGCGCGGUGUCUCGCACUCGGCGCCGUCGCCGGUCUGCGACGAUUUCUUCGGGCCUCUUUCCGACCCGUCUUGAAACACGGACCAAGGAGUCUAACGUGCGCGCGAGUCGCGGGGUUUCGAGCGUACCACGGUGCGCUCGUCACUAGCGAAACCCGUAUCGUCGAAGGCGUAAUGAAAGUGAACAAGGGAGGAUGGCGUUCCGAGUCCACGUACCGUGAUCGAGUGUCGCGGCCGGACGUCCGCACUCCCGGGGCGUCUCGAUGGCUCGUCGCGGAUGCGGGCGGUCGUCUUUCGGGGCGGCCGCCGGUCUGCGCCGGACCGA